CAGAGAAGGGAUGCUCCGAGGUGCUGGAGCCCGGGUGCCUUGUUGUAUCCCCACCUCAAGCCGAAGGGGUUUGCGCCAGCUGAGUGCUCAGAUGGACGCAGCAGCAGCAGCAGGACUGAGCUCCAGAGCUCGUAGGCCCCUCCUGGAAGGCCAGCUGUUCACCCCUCUUCGCCACUCCAUUGGGCAGAUUCUGGAUGAAACCUUCCAGGUAGCCACGUGGGAAGCAGAUGCACUCACACUUCGCACUAACAGAGGCCUCGUGCACGCGGCUGUCAUGGAACUCCUCACAGGGCCUCUGACUCUCUCCCCAGCAUGUUCUCCCACUUCCUCUUGACUGGGGACGCAGUGAUGGAGCCAGUGGCCCAAGCCUCUAGAUGCACCUGUACCUGUGGCUGAUGACCGUGUAACGAUGUUAAAACGCUGAGAAGAACCUACACAGCAAGUCUGGUUGCUUGUUCCCUGCAUGUCUCCAAGGAAACCUGGAGCCCUGACGGGAGCAUGGUUCUCAGGAGGCCUGUGAUGUCAGUGAUGGAUGGUGUUGUGUUCGCCUGGAGCAGUGGACCAUGCCCUGCUGGCCUGUUAGGACGGCUUUGCACAAAUGCCAAGACUGAUGAUGCGCGCCUGGUUUCAUUGCUGGAGCCUGGAAUUUCAGUUGCUGUGGCUGAUUGAUAGCCUGAUGGGUCUAUGUGACCCACCUCCCGUUAACACCUGGACCCUCAGGCAUGUGUGGGUUUUUUCCACUAGUGACUCUGCAGUUCUCUGCUGGAGAAAAAGCCUGUGCUUAGUGAGCUCAGAUGAGGAGGCGUGGCAGGGGGCUCCCGUGCCGGACAACUGGGGAUUCUGCCAACAUGUAUCUUUCCUUCCUAUUUCUGUUCUGCAUCUUCUGCUGAAAUAAAUCUUAGGAUAAAUCACAUCAUGGAGUCUUGUCAGUCUUCCUAGUGAAUCACCGAAUGUAGGGAGGUGUGGGCCCUCCAGCCCAGAACAGGAAAGAGUGAAGGCCGGUUCCUCUUUAUUCUACUGGACGCUGCCCAACCAAGGUCCAGGCCCUGCACACUCUCACUCAGCCCAGCACCUUCCAGGUUUGAAUGCAGGUGGUGAGGAACAAUGGGCAGAAUAGUUACAGGCAAAGCAGGAGCUCCAACCAUAAUCCCCUUCGGGUGGGUUCCUCUUGGGCUCAGAGCCCUGGAGUCCGCCCACCUGGGAAAUGCUGUGGGAAGCGUGAUGCCGGGGCAGAAGGGGAAGGGCAGG
Molecule: long non-coding RNA, 1248 nt
Filed under: Capra hircus (goat)
Lineage: Eukaryota; Metazoa; Chordata; Mammalia; Artiodactyla; Bovidae
Description: lncRNA (ENSCHIG00000003973.1)
Source: RNAcentral